Molecule: ribosomal RNA, 440 nt
Filed under: uncultured bacterium
Lineage: Bacteria
Description: partial 16S ribosomal RNA
Rfam family: Bacterial small subunit ribosomal RNA
Source: RNAcentral
CCUACGGGUGGCAGCAGUGGGGAAUAUUGCACAAUGGGGGAAACCCUGAUGCAGCGACGCCGCGUGAGUGAAGAAGUAUUUCGGUAUGUAAAGCUCUAUCAGCAGGGAAGAUAAUGAAGGUACCUGACUAAGAAGCCCCGGCUUACUACGUGCCAGCAGCCGCGGUAAGACGUAGGGGGCAGCCGUUAUCCGGAUUUACUGGGUGUAAAGGGAGCGUAGGGGGCAUGUCAAGUCAGUUGUGAACUCCCGGGGCUCAACCCCGGGAGUGCAUUUGAAACUGGCCAGCUGGAGUGCAGGCGAGGUAAGCGGAAUUCCUAGUGUAGCGGUGAAAUGCAUAGAUAUUAGGAGGAACACCAGUGGCGAAGGCGGCUUACUGGACUGUAACUGACACUGAGGCUCGAAAGCGUGGGGAGCAAACAGGAUUAGAUACCCGAGUAGUC